Molecule: non-coding RNA, 172 nt
Filed under: Geosporobacter subterraneus DSM 17957
Lineage: Bacteria; Bacillati; Bacillota; Clostridia; Peptostreptococcales; Thermotaleaceae
Source: RNAcentral
UCCACCGGGAGGUGGAAUCUGAAAGAAACCCUAGGCAAAAUCUCGGUCUGAGGAACACGAACCUCAUAGAAGGUUUCUUGAAACGGACGAGUUUGCAUAACAAAACAAAGUCCAACACUACCCGAAUUCCAAGGAGUAAAUGAGGCAGAUAGAUGAGAUGAAGGUUAUCCUU